GAUGAACGCUGGCGGCGUGCCUAAUACAUGCAAGUCGAGCGAACGGACGAGAAGCUUGCUUCUCUGAUGUUAGCGGCGGACGGGUGAGUAACAUGUGGAUAACCUACCUAUAAGACUGGGAUAACUUCGGGAAACCGGAGCUAAUACCGGAUAAUAUUUUGAACCGCAUGGUUCAAAAGUGAAAGACGGUCUUGCUGUCACUUAUAGAUGGAUCCGCGCUGCAUUAGCUAGUUGGUAAGGUAACGGCUUACCAAGGCAACGAUGCAUAGCCGACCUGAGAGGGUGAUCGGCCACACUGGAACUGAGACACGGUCCAGACUCCUACGGGAGGCAGCAGUAGGGAAUCUUCCGCAGUGGGCGAAAGCCUGACGGAGCAACGCCGCGUGAGUGAUGAAGGUCUUCGGAUCGUAAAACUCUGUUAUUAGGGAAGAACAUAUGUGUAAGUAACUGUGCACAUCUUGACGGUACCUAAUCAGAAAGCCACGGCUAACUACGU
This 496-nucleotide ribosomal RNA is filed under the name uncultured bacterium. RNAcentral describes it as "partial 16S ribosomal RNA". It matches the Rfam family "Bacterial small subunit ribosomal RNA", at positions 28 to 506 of the family's 1533-position model. The record is from RNAcentral.